RNAcentral lists this long non-coding RNA (252 nucleotides) under Gossypium barbadense (sea-island cotton). Its description in RNAcentral is "long non-coding RNA (GBAR_LNC007841)". The record is from RNAcentral. Lineage: Eukaryota; Viridiplantae; Streptophyta; Magnoliopsida; Malvales; Malvaceae.
GCGAAUACUAUAUGCCAACACAAUAUAAAUAGACAUUAUAUUUUCAUGCUAGCCAGAUACGCAGAUUUCAGAGCCAGAUUCAUAUCAGAUGUUUUCAUUUCAUUCAUUUACAUUCUCUCCUUAUUGCUCCCCAUUUCAAAAUCAUUCAGUAGCCUGUUUAAUUGUGUUAUGCCAAUCUAGUUUGCGAUCUAUAUCUGCCCUACCGAAGGCUACAUAAUUUAUUUCCUUUAACUCCAUUUUCGUAGAUCAGUC